CAUGUGUUCCAUUCAUCCAAGUUAAAGCUAGCUUCCUUCCUUCGCUCUUUCUGUAUUUAUUCUUGUGUCCCUUCUUUUUCAUGAUGUCACUAUCACUGAGCUAAAUACAGCUCAACCAAUAAUAUAAGCAUCAGGCUUGAAUAUCUGUGCUAAAUCUGUCCAACUUACAGCAGUGCCAAUCUUGCUGCAAACUAGCAAGAAAAGGCAACUUCAAAAAAGAGCUUUUCUUAUUGCUACUGCAGAAGUAAUGAUCUGUUCUUCUUCCUUUUUUUUUUUUUUUUUGGGUAUUAAUUCUUGCCCCGCUGAACCAAAAUCCUUGCUCUGCCUCUGGUGGGAUUGUUGUGGAUCCACUGGGGUUUGUUACAAAACUUGUGCUCACAAUUUUUGAAAUGUGAACACAAUAAAUGGUGCCACAUUCUGGAGGCACAACCAUUUUGAUUGAUAGUGCCACUUUGAUUCUUUCACCUGGAAUCAUUGGAAGGUUCCCUACUUUGUUGGUGAAUAGAGUCUGAGUUUCUGGAAUUACAGAUUGCAAACCAUUAAAAACAUGCAAGUUUGAGAACUGAAUCAAUAUGCAGAACCUUCUUGAAAACUAAUAUGGUAUUAAGAGAUUUUCAUGAUUAUUGCGGUUGAUGUUGCCUACUUCUAUACAUCGUGUGCGCUUCAAUAUUAUGAUGAUGGUUGUUGAUGUUUUUUGAAUUCUUGCAUGAUUAUUCUGUCAAACUAUUCCACAGGUUGCACAAUGAAAAGAUGACUAAACUUCAGUCUCUCAAAGACGAGACUGAUCAUAUACAAUGUGCCAAAGUCAAUGAAAGAAAAAAGUCUCAAGAAACUUUGUAUAGAUGCAGUUACUUCUCGAGCUACAGAGCAAAAACCCACAACUCGGCAGUUGAAAUUAUUGAAGGAUAAGAAAGGGCGAAAAAAGUCGUCCACGUGGAGUAGCCUUCAUAGAGUUCACGGAGCAUCAACAUGCACUUGUGGCCCAGAGAGUUCUUAACAAUAAUCCAGAUACUUUUGGUUCUGAGCAUCGCCUGAUUGUGGAGUUUGCUUUAGAUAAUGUCCAGACACUGAAGCUUCGUAAAGAAAAACUUCAAGCUCAGAAGGCUUCUCUUGA
Long non-coding RNA from Olea europaea var. sylvestris, 1114 nucleotides. RefSeq lists it as uncharacterized. NCBI's taxonomy places the organism in Eukaryota, Viridiplantae, Streptophyta, Magnoliopsida, Lamiales, Oleaceae. The record is from RefSeq and is a predicted model, not a curated record. The transcript has 3 exons.